GGUGAGAUGGCCGAGCGGUCUAAGGCACUACGUUAAGGAGUUCCUUGAUAACAUCAGCAUCUUUCGAGAUCUUGAUUCCGUAGUCCGAAAGCGUGUGGGUUCGAAUCCCACUCUCAUCA
This 119-nucleotide transfer RNA is filed under the name Cercophora newfieldiana. It matches the Rfam family "tRNA". Rfam says of the family: Transfer RNA (tRNA) molecules are approximately 80 nucleotides in length. Their secondary structure includes four short double-helical elements and three loops (D, anti-codon, and T loops). The record is from Rfam by way of RNAcentral. Lineage: Eukaryota; Fungi; Ascomycota; Sordariomycetes; Sordariales; Lasiosphaeriaceae.